AUUGAACGCUGGCGGCAUGCCUUACACAUGCAAGUCGAACGGUAGCGCGGGGUAACCUGGCGACGAGUGGCGAACGGGUGAGUAAUGCAUCGGAACGUGCCCUGGAAUGGGGGAUAACGUAGCGAAAGUUACGCUAAUACCGCAUAUCCUGUGAGCAGGAAAGCAGGGGAUCGCAAGACCUUGCGUUCUGGGAGCGGCCGAUGUCGGAUUAGCUAGUUGGUGGGGUAAAGGCCUACCAAGGCGACGAUCCGUAGCGGGUCUGAGAGGAUGAUCCGCCACACUGGGACUGAGACACGGCCCAGACUCCUACGGGAGGCAGCAGUGGGGGAAUUUUGGACAAUGGGCGGAAGCCUGAUCCAGCCAUGCCGCGUGAGUGAAGAAGGCCUUCGGGUUGUUAAAGG
This 401-nucleotide ribosomal RNA is filed under the name uncultured bacterium. RNAcentral describes it as "bacterial SSU rRNA". It matches the Rfam family "Bacterial small subunit ribosomal RNA", at positions 29 to 432 of the family's 1533-position model. The record is from RNAcentral.